Molecule: ribosomal RNA, 332 nt
Filed under: uncultured eukaryote
Lineage: Eukaryota
Description: partial 18S ribosomal RNA
Rfam family: Eukaryotic small subunit ribosomal RNA
Source: RNAcentral
CCCUUAGAUGUUCUGGGCCGCACGCGCGCUACACUGAUGCAUUCAACGAGUAAUCUUUGACCUUGGUCGACAGAUCUGGGUAAUCUUUUGAAAUUGCAUCGUGAUGGGGCUUGCGGGUUGCAAUUACCCGCACCAACGAGGAAUUCCUAGUAAACGCAAGUCAUCAACUUGCAUUGAUUACGUCCCUGCCCUUUGUACACACCGCCCGUCGCUCCUACCGAUUGAGCGGUCCGGUGAAGACUCAGGAGAUGGGCGCGUGCUUGGUUCGCCAACUGCGCUGCCUGCCAAAGUUGUCUAAACCUUAUCGCUUAGAGGAAGGAGAAGUCGUAACA